This 839-nucleotide ribosomal RNA is filed under the name uncultured bacterium. RNAcentral describes it as "bacterial SSU rRNA". It matches the Rfam family "Bacterial small subunit ribosomal RNA", at positions 22 to 904 of the family's 1533-position model. The record is from RNAcentral.
GCUCAGGAUGAACGCUGGCGGUAUGCUUAACACAUGCAAGUCGAACGGUGUCUUCGGACACAGUGGCGGACGGGUGAGUAACGCGUGAGAAUCUGGCUUCAGGUCGGGGACAACCACUGGAAACGGUGGCUAAUACCGGAUGUGCCGAAAGGUGAAAGAUUUAUUGCCUGAAGAUGAGCUCGCGUCUGAUUAGCUAGUAGGUGUGGUAAGAGCGCACCUAGGCGACGAUCAGUAGCUGGUCUGAGAGGAUGAUCAGCCACACUGGGACUGAGACACGGCCCAGACUCCUACGGGAGGCAGCAGUGGGGAAUUUUCCGCAAUGGGCGAAAGCCUGACGGAGCAAUACCGCGUGAGGGAGGAAGGCUCUUGGGUUGUAAACCUCUUUUCUCAGGGAAGAAAAAAAUGACGGUACCUGAGGAAUAAGCAUCGGCUAACUCCGUGCCAGCAGCCGCGGUAAUACGGAGGAUGCAAGCGUUAUCCGGAAUGAUUGGGCGUAAAGCGUCCGCAGGUGGCUAUGUAAGUCUGCUGUUAAAGAGUGAGGCUCAACCUCAUAAAAGCAGUGGAAACUACAUAGCUAGAGUGCGUUCGGGGCAGAGGGAAUUCCUGGUGUAGCGGUGAAAUGCGUAGAGAUCAGGAAGAACACCGGUGGCGAAAGCGCUCUGCUAGGCCGCAACUGACACUGAGGGACGAAAGCUAGGGGAGCGAAUGGGAUUAGAUACCCCAGUAGUCCUAGCCGUAAACGAUGGAUACUAGGCGUGGCUUGUAUCGACCCGAGCCGUGCCGUAGCUAACGCGUUAAGUAUCCCGCCUGGGGAGUACGCACGCAAGUGUGAAACUCAA